RNAcentral lists this ribosomal RNA (392 nucleotides) under Staphylococcus kloosii. RNAcentral's name for it is "bacterial SSU rRNA". It matches the Rfam family "Bacterial small subunit ribosomal RNA", at positions 468 to 858 of the family's 1533-position model. Lineage: Bacteria; Bacillati; Bacillota; Bacilli; Caryophanales; Staphylococcaceae. The record is from RNAcentral.
CUUGACGGUACCUAAUCAGAAAGCCACGGCUAACUACGUGCCAGCAGCCGCGGUAAUACGUAGGUGGCAAGCGUUAUCCGGAAUUAUUGGGCGUAAAGCGCGCGUAGGCGGUCUCUUAAGUCUGAUGUGAAAGCCCACGGCUCAACCGUGGAGGGUCAUUGGAAACUGGGAGACUUGAGUGCAGAAGAGGAAAGUGGAAUUCCAUGUGUAGCGGUGAAAUGCGCAGAGAUAUGGAGGAACACCAGUGGCGAAGGCGACUUUCUGGUCUGUAACUGACGCUGAUGUGCGAAAGCGUGGGGAUCAAACAGGAUUAGAUACCCUGGUAGUCCACGCCGUAAACGAUGAGUGCUAAGUGUUAGGGGGUUUCCGCCCCUUAGUGCUGCAGCUAACGC